UACGUAGGGUGCAAGCGUUAAUCGGAAUUACUGGGCGUAAAGCGUGCGCAGGCGGUUCUAUAAGACAGAUGGGAAAUCCCCGGGCUCAACCUGGGAACUGCAUUUGUGACUGUAGAGCUGGAGUGCGGCAGAGGGGGAUGGAAUUCCGCGUGUAGCAGUGAAAUGCGUAGAUAUGCGGAGGAACACCGAUGGCGAAGGCAAUCCCCUGGGCCUGCACUGACGCUCAUGCACGAAAGCGUGGGGAGCAAACAGG
This 253-nucleotide ribosomal RNA is filed under the name uncultured bacterium. RNAcentral describes it as "partial 16S ribosomal RNA". It matches the Rfam family "Bacterial small subunit ribosomal RNA", at positions 524 to 776 of the family's 1533-position model. The record is from RNAcentral.